GUUCUACCUUGACGAAUUGUAGUUUAAAGAAGUGUUUUCUGUUAGAGGAGUAGCAAGAGUUCCUUGGAAUGGGACAUCAUAGAGGGUGAGAAUCCCGUAUUUGGUUAUUCUUUCUAGCUUUGUGAUACACUUUCAAAGAGUCGGAUUGUUUGGGAAUGCAGUCCAAAAUGGGUGGUAAAUUUCAUCUAAAGCUAAAUAUUGGCGAGAGAUCGAUAGCGAACAAGUACCGUGAGGGAAAGAUGAAAAGAACUUUGAAAAGAGAGUUAAACAGUACGUGAAAUUGUCAAAAGGGAAGCGUUUGACACCAGUGUUGUUUUUCCGAAAAUCAAUUAAGAAGGGCUUGAUUUUGUGUUGUAUUGACCUUAUCAGCUUUCUUCACUCUUUUUCGAGUCUUUCUU
RNAcentral lists this ribosomal RNA (398 nucleotides) under uncultured Neocallimastigomycetes. RNAcentral's name for it is "eukaryotic LSU rRNA". It matches the Rfam family "Eukaryotic large subunit ribosomal RNA", at positions 127 to 522 of the family's 3401-position model. Lineage: Eukaryota; Fungi; Neocallimastigomycota; Neocallimastigomycetes. The record is from RNAcentral.